CGGACGGGUGAGUAAUGUCUGGGAAACGGCCCGAUGGAGGGGGAUAACUACUGGAAACGGUAGCUAAUACCGCAUAACGUCGCAAGACCAAAGAGGGGGACCUUCGGGCCUCUUGCCAUCGGAUGUGCCCAGAUGGGAUUAGCUAGUAGGUGGGGUAACGGCUCACCUAGGCGACGAUCCCUAGCUGGUCUGAGAGGAUGACCAGCCACACUGGAACUGAGACACGGUCCAG
RNAcentral lists this ribosomal RNA (232 nucleotides) under uncultured bacterium. RNAcentral describes it as "partial 16S ribosomal RNA". It matches the Rfam family "Bacterial small subunit ribosomal RNA", at positions 99 to 334 of the family's 1533-position model. The record is from RNAcentral.